GUGCCAGCAGCCGCGGUAAUACGUAGGUGGCAAGCGUUAUCCGGAAUUAUUGGGCGUAAAGCGCGCGCAGGCGGUCUUUUAAGUCUGAUGUGAAAGGUCAUGGCUCAACCAUGGAAUUGCAUUGGAAACUGGGAGACUUGAGUGCAGAAGAGGAGAGUAGAAUUCCACGUGUAGCGGUGAAAUGCGUAGAGAUGUGGAGGAAUACCAAUGGCGAAGGCAACUCUCUGGUCUGUAACUGACGCUGAGGCGCGAAAGCGUGGGGAGCAAACAGGAUUAGAUACCCUGGUAGUCCACGCCGUAAACGAUGAGUGCUAAGUGUUAGAGGGCUUCCACCCUUUAGUGCUGCAGCUAACGCAUUAAGCACUCCGCCUGGGGAGUACGGUCGCAAGACUGAA
This 395-nucleotide ribosomal RNA is filed under the name uncultured bacterium. RNAcentral describes it as "bacterial SSU rRNA". It matches the Rfam family "Bacterial small subunit ribosomal RNA", at positions 505 to 898 of the family's 1533-position model. The record is from RNAcentral.